UACGGGGGGGGCAAGCGUUGUUCGGAUUUACUGGGCGUAAAGGGCGCGUAGGCGGCGCAACAAGUCACCUGUGAAAUCUCCGGGCUUAACCCGGAGCGGCCAAGUGAUACUGUCGUGCUAGAGUGCGGAAGGGGCUACUGGAAUUCUCGGUGUAGCGGUGAAAUGCGUAGAUAUCGAGAGGAACACCUGCGGCGAAGGCGGGUAGCUGGGCCGACACUGACGCUGAGGCGCGAAAGCCAGGGGAGCGAACGGG
Molecule: ribosomal RNA, 253 nt
Filed under: uncultured bacterium
Lineage: Bacteria
Description: partial 16S ribosomal RNA
Rfam family: Bacterial small subunit ribosomal RNA
Source: RNAcentral